Long non-coding RNA from Teleopsis dalmanni, 747 nucleotides. RefSeq lists it as uncharacterized. The record is from RefSeq and is a predicted model, not a curated record. The transcript has 2 exons. NCBI's taxonomy places the organism in Eukaryota, Metazoa, Arthropoda, Insecta, Diptera, Diopsidae.
CAUUAUUUCAAGCAGUUCUAGUAAACGUGAAAGUAAGUGCAGAGAGUGUUAAGUUAAUUAUUAAUGAUGGUGAUGACGAUCAUGAUGAUGAUGGCUAUUAUUAUUAUUAGAUUUGACAUCACACGGCACAUUUGCUCAGUAAUAUAUAUGUGGUUGUAAUACCAUACUUCAGUUCAACAGUUUGAGAGUUUGCGGAGUUCAGUACAUCUAUCUUUAGAUCAGGAGAAAUCCCAAUUGAUGUAAUCUCAGUGAAUGGAAAGGUUGACUUACGAUGUGGCUCCAAAAGAAAAGGUGGACCCAAUAGAAAGUGAAUUUAUGAUCUAGAAGAAGACAUAACACCGAUGAAUGUUAAAAAUCAUACUAAACCGAUUUACCGAUUUUUAAGUGAAUCAAGAACUAUAUUCACUUCUAAGUACACUUAAAGGAUCCAAGUCCCAAUUGCCAUUCAGUUUAAAACAAUAACUUAUGGCCAGGUUGUAAUAGUUCGCUUCGUGCACCUAUUUGUUGGAGCUCUGACGAGGUGGACGAGAUCUCGCUCACCCACGAUUACCCAUUAAGUUCUGCAAAUUCAAACUUACAUGUACAAGUGUGUCUAUUAGUGGGUAAUAUUUCAAACCACCUUGGAAGAUAUAUACUCGCCAAUUCAAUUAAAAGACGAAAUUGUGCGUGAAACAAAGUAUAUUUUGUUACUUGUGAUAAAUGGUUUUUUAUAAAAAUAAAACACACAGAUCAUCUCUGUAGCCUAAA